UCCGGUUUGUCACCGGCAGUCUGGCGCGAGUCCCCAACUUAAUGAUGGCAACACGCCACGGGGGUUGCGCUCGUUGCGGGACUUAACCCAACAUCUCACGACACGAGCUGACGACAGCCAUGCACCACCUGUGCACAGGCCCCGAAGGGCUGCCGUGUUUCCACGACAUUCCUGUGCAUGUCAAGCCUUGGUAAGGUUCUUCGCGUCGCGUCGAAUUAAACCGCAUGCUCCACCGCUUGUGCGGGCCCCCGUCAAUUCCUUUGAGUUUCAGUCUUGCGACCGUACUCCCCAGGCGGAGUGCUUAAUGCGUUAGCUUGGAUACUGAUCUUAGAAAAGACCAACAUCUAGUAUUCAUCGCUUAGGGCGUGGACUAC
This 374-nucleotide unclassified non-coding RNA is filed under the name uncultured bacterium. Its description in RNAcentral is "contains 16S-23S intergenic spacer region". The record is from RNAcentral.